RNAcentral lists this long non-coding RNA (376 nucleotides) under Gossypium raimondii (Peruvian cotton). RNAcentral's name for it is "long non-coding RNA (GRAI_LNC000670)". The record is from RNAcentral. Lineage: Eukaryota; Viridiplantae; Streptophyta; Magnoliopsida; Malvales; Malvaceae.
GAGGCGCAUGUAGGUGCUGUUGGGGGUGGACCUAGGUGCGGCGCACCUAGGGUUUUCUUCUUUUCUUUUUUGUUUUGUUGUUAGCUUUGGGCUAGGGUUUGUAAUGGACCAUCAGGUUUUUAUUUUGGGCUGAUUUUUUGUAAUUGGACUGGACCUUGGUUUUUUUUUUUUUGUUGUUGUUUAUUUUGUUUGGUUUAUUUUGUGUUUUAUAAUUGUGAUUUGGGCCCAAGCCAAAAUUGGCCUAUUACAAAAUCAAGAAAGACAGAAAAUAAACUAAGAAUAUGAUUGUGUUUUGAAAAAAAAAAGUACGACUUUCUUGUUUUUAUCAAUUUUGUUUCGUUAUUUCCUUGUACAACUCAUACUACUAUACUAAAAU